RNAcentral lists this transfer RNA (71 nucleotides) under Loxodonta africana (African savanna elephant). It matches the Rfam family "tRNA". Rfam says of the family: Transfer RNA (tRNA) molecules are approximately 80 nucleotides in length. Their secondary structure includes four short double-helical elements and three loops (D, anti-codon, and T loops). Further hydrogen bonds mediate the characteristic L-shaped molecular structure. tRNAs have two regions of fundamental functional importance: the anti-codon, which is responsible for specific mRNA codon recognition, and the 3' end, to which the tRNAs corresponding amino acid is attached (by aminoacyl-tRNA synthetases). tRNAs cope with the degeneracy of the genetic code in two manners: having more than one tRNA (with a specific anti-codon) for a particular amino acid; and 'wobble' base-pairing, i.e. permitting non-standard base-pairing at the 3rd anti-codon position. Lineage: Eukaryota; Metazoa; Chordata; Mammalia; Proboscidea; Elephantidae. The record is from Rfam by way of RNAcentral.
GCAUUGGUGGUUCAGGGGUAGACCUCUCACCUUCCAUGUGGGAUGCCCUGGUUCAAUUCCUGGCCAAUGCA